UGCCCACAUGACUGUAAGUUGCUUUGGAUAAAAGCAUCCGCUAAACGGCAUAAU
Molecule: non-coding RNA, 54 nt
Organism: Salmo salar (Atlantic salmon)
Lineage: Eukaryota; Metazoa; Chordata; Actinopteri; Salmoniformes; Salmonidae
Source: Rfam